UUGACCUCAAAUCAGGUAGGACUACCCGCUGAACUUAAGCAUAU
RNAcentral lists this ribosomal RNA (44 nucleotides) under Schizophyllum commune. Its description in RNAcentral is "partial 28S ribosomal RNA". The record is from RNAcentral. Lineage: Eukaryota; Fungi; Basidiomycota; Agaricomycetes; Agaricales; Schizophyllaceae. RNAcentral also lists the same sequence under 64 other names.